RNAcentral lists this unclassified non-coding RNA (258 nucleotides) under Hevea brasiliensis (rubber tree). Lineage: Eukaryota; Viridiplantae; Streptophyta; Magnoliopsida; Malpighiales; Euphorbiaceae. The record is from RNAcentral.
GUGGGUUGAUAGGGAAGGAAAGACUCCGUUGAUUGUUGCCUGUACGAAACCAGAGCCUUAUAACGUGGCGAAAGCCUUGCUAGAACUCGGCGCCAAUGUCAAUGCGUAUGGACCAGGCCGUAAUGGUGGGACGCCAUUGCACCAUGCAGCUAGAAGAGGCUUGGAAAACACUGUUAAAUUACUUCUUUCUUACAGAGCAAAUACUUCGAUUAUUAAUGAUGCUUGCCAAACUGCAUUGGAAGUUGCGAGAGCAGCAGG